UCAAAGACCAGCCUAGCAAGAGUGUGGUGACCAUGACAGAUCAGGAGGCUACAGGGCAGACUUCGUGCUACCAAGCACUUCCUCAAACCAAACCAUAGAACUGAAGUGUCGAGGAUUUGGAGGUCACUGAGGUAAAAUCCAUACCAGGGGUGUGACUCCCUUUGUUGGUGUUUCCAGUAAGCAGUGCCUCAAUCCAGCCUCUCUCCUUGGACGCCACCAACCGGCUGCUUCUUGCCACGAACCCAGGCAGCCCACGUGAGAUUGGGUACAGAGCAAGUCUGACUUUGCACCAGCUCUGAUGGCGAAGACCCCUCUGGGGACCUCCUACCCACGCCCACUCUCAGUUCUGCCUCCCCGGAGCCAUUUGAGGAAUUCUGGAGGAAUUUCCAAGAUGGCGGUCUUUGAAUAUGUCAUGAGAUUUUACCGCGGUUCUGUUCCCUUGCUCCAUCCCAAAGGGGGAAGGCAGCGUAGCAUAGUGGUUAUGAGUCCUGCAUCUGGAACCAAAUGGCUCAGGUUCAAACGUGACCCGCAGCCAGAUCUCAGGGGUCUCGAGUUUCCCCCCGACUCGGGGAGCACAGCCACCUGCUUGCCUAGACGCCCAUCCUCCUCAUUAGCUUGGGCUUCAAAUCUUUUCUGCUGAGCUGUGCAGGAUGAACUCAGCUGCUCCAAUGGGCUUCCUGGCAAACCAACAAAGACACACCACCGGCCUCCCCACCGCAGUCAAUGGCACCGCCGACGCCCAGUGCUCACAAGCUUGGGAAGCUGCCUCGACCUUUCCCUCUGCUGUAUUCAGUCAAAUCCAGUGGAAUUCCUUUGACACCGCCUCAUCGCUGUCAGUCAAGGAGGCUCUCAUGGUACUGGCUUUUAAUUCGACUGCUUCAGCCCCAGGACCUUUGCACAUGCUGCUCCAGGCCACUUUGACCCACAAACUGCCUUCUCUGAAGACUCCAGUCUCUGGGCCUUUGAGGCCUCCACGCUGAUGUAUUUGGACGUCUCGGGGCCGUCUGUUACCGGAGGCCACUCCAGCCCCCCGAAGGCACGUCGGUUCCAUCAGCAGCAGCCCCCGCCCCGCGGCUGCCCAUGGAGCCGUUUGAAGUGGGUCCCGGUGGUGUUUACUCGCCUUCGUGUAAGAAACGCGUGCACAGCUGCCCUGGGUGGGGGGCGGGCGAGAAGGGGGUCCCCUCAUCAGUCACGAGCCUGUUUAUUUGGGAACUAGAGCGGCCCUUUCUCCAGUUAUUACUCAAUGUCCUCUUCAGACCAAGCCACCCUCACUCCAGCAGGUGGGGCAGGAAUAACAAACGCACUGCCCGCUGCCAGACGCACCCAUCUCGCCCGGGCCCCGUGGUGCACUUGGCUUUCAGAGAAGACUUGGAGACGAAGGGUUGGGGGGGGGAUGCUCGCUGGUCCCAAGAGGGCUGGUCAGGAGCACAGACCAGGAGCCAGAAGGCCAGGCCUCAACAUCUAGUUCUGCCUCUUACUAUGUGCAACUCAGACAAGUGAACUCAAUCCUCGAAACAACGCCCCCUUCCCGUAUCGCAGAUGGGGAAAUCGAGGCCCAGAGAAGCUACACAUGCAAAGACCUUAGAAGAGUGCUCGACACCUACAACUUCAAUGAGAAUUGGAAAUUGGUCAUGGGAGAAUUUACACAGUGGAAAUUGGCAAACAUACAAGUCAAGCCUCUCCCCCGCAGAGCUCGCUGUUCACAUGUAAUUGGUGGUAUGUUGGUGAGCGCUGAGGAUGCGUGUCAACCUCUUCAACCCAUAGUACGAAAGUCGCGUGUUGCAGGUUGAGUUGCCUGGGAUUCAUGUGCAGGUGUCUCAUCCUUAGUUCCAGGUCCUGUUGCCAGCUCCAACCCUCUCUUGUCACCAACUACUGCUGGGGAAACCCAAAGCCUUUCCAGAUUCAACCCAAUGGUGCCAACCAAAGCAAGAGGGAUGACAGGUGUGGAAUUGACGGCAAUGGCAGCAGCAAGAGCAGCAUCAAUGAGAACCUGAGAGAAGCAUGAAUGGCAGAGUGAGGAUCCCUAUGACGGCAGCAAUAGUGGCAAGAUCAGAAAGGACAGCUGUACUGGGAGCAUCAUGGAGAGAGU
This is a long non-coding RNA of Equus caballus (horse), 2089 nucleotides long. The record is from Ensembl. NCBI's taxonomy places the organism in Eukaryota, Metazoa, Chordata, Mammalia, Perissodactyla, Equidae.